GUGCUCACUUCAGCAGCAUCUCUGCUAAAACUGGAAUCAUACAGAGGCAUUAGCAUGGCAUCUGUAGAAGAAAGACACACAUUGGUGGGCUAUUCAUUACUCUUUA
Molecule: small nuclear RNA, 106 nt
Organism: Psammomys obesus (fat sand rat)
Lineage: Eukaryota; Metazoa; Chordata; Mammalia; Rodentia; Muridae
Source: RefSeq, a predicted model, not a curated record